ACUCUGACCAGCCAUGCCGCGUGCAGGAAGACUGCCCUAUGGGUUGUAAACUGCUUUUAUACAGGAAGAAACACUCCGACGUGUCGGAGCUUGACGGUACUGUAAGAAUAAGGAUCGGCUAACUCCGUGCCAGCAGCCGCGGUAAUACGGAGGAUCCAAGCGUUAUCCGGAAUCAUUGGGUUUAAAGGGUCCGCAGGCUGUUUUUUAAGUCAGAGGUGAAAUCCUACAGCUCAACUGUAGAACUGCCUUUGAUACUGAAAAACUUGAGUUAUUGUGAAGUGGUUAGAAUGUGUGGUGUAGCGGUGAAAUGCAUAGAUAUCACACAGAAUACCGAUUGCGAAGGCAGAUCUCUGGGCCGUAACUGACGCUGAGGAGCGAAAGCGUGGGGAGCGAACAGGAUUAGAUACCCUGGUAGUCCACGCCGUAAACGGUGGGAACUAGAUGUAGGGACCGUUCCACGGUUUCUGUGUCGCAGCUAACGCAUUAAGUUCCCCGCCUGGGGAGUACGGCCGCAAGGCUAAAACUCAAAGGAAUUGACGGGGGCCCGCACAAGCGGCGGAGCAUGCGGAUUAAUUCGAUGCAACGCGAAGAACCUUACCAAGGCUUGACAUAUAGAGGAAAAGUGUAGAAAUACACUCCCCGCAAGGUCUCUAUACAGGUGGUGCAUGGUUGUCGUCAGCUCGUGUCGUGAGAUGUUGGGUUAAGUCCCGCAACGAGCGCAACCCUCGUCCUAUGUUGCCAGCACGUAGUGGUGGGAACUCAUGGGAUACUGCCGGGGUCAACUCGGAGGAAGGUGGGGAUGACGUCAAAUCAUCAUGCCCCUUAUGUCUUGGGCU
Molecule: ribosomal RNA, 836 nt
Filed under: uncultured Actinomycetes bacterium
Lineage: Bacteria; Bacillati; Actinomycetota; Actinomycetes
Description: bacterial SSU rRNA
Rfam family: Bacterial small subunit ribosomal RNA
Source: RNAcentral